This 8715-nucleotide long non-coding RNA is filed under the name Zea mays. RNAcentral's name for it is "long non-coding RNA (ZMAY_LNC003959)". The record is from RNAcentral. Lineage: Eukaryota; Viridiplantae; Streptophyta; Magnoliopsida; Poales; Poaceae.
UGGCCGGCUUCUCCUGCUCAGCCUUGCUCCUUCCCUUGGUGCCUGGCGACCUUCCCAUGGCCGGCUGCCAGACCUUGCUCUAGCUCGGCUCCCAUCUCCCUGCUCGUUCCUCCUUCAAGCUCCCAUAGCCGCUGAGCUCUGCCCAUGGCCGCCGUCGCCUGUCUGCGCUCCACCUCGCCCCAAGCUGCAACCGACCGCCAUCUCCCAUGGAAGCUGUGACCAGCCAAACUCCUUUGCACAGCGCUCUGCUCGUCGUGGAGCACUGCUAUCGCCGUCGCGUCGUAGCUCCCUUCCCCCAGUUUCUCUCUCGUCCCCCAUGGCGCUCGCCCCUGCGCAGGUAAAUCCCCAUGGUCUGAGCUCCCUGCUUCCCUGCCGGUGCCCGCCCAGCCAUGGAGCUUCCCCGUCGCGCCCUCUGCUCCAUCUUCCUCAACCGCGCGCUGCUCGGAGUCCCCUGUGAAGCCCGAUUUCUGCGCGCCCAUGGAGUUCGCUGAGCUCCAUCCCUUGCCUGUUAUGGCGCUCGGUUUUCCUCGGCCCGUGCUCGUUGGAGGAUGAGCGCGAGUUUCCCUGCCAUAGUCUCGCCCCAGCCCUCAACGCCGAUCGCUCCUCUUCGGCUUCAUUUUCCACGGCGCCGGCCUCUGUUCGGCUCCCACGGACGGCUCCCUCCUAUGGCGGCCGCUCGUUCUUCCUCCUCCUCCUUGCACGAGCCGCGACCCUCUGACCAGUCCCAGCCGAACUCCCUGGCCAUCGCGCUUGCCGUUUCCCCACGCGCGCAGCCUCCCUCCUAGCUCGGCCGCCUGCUUCUCUCCGCUGCUCGUCGUCGCGUCGUUUGCCGUCGAGUCGUCAAACACGUUAUCCCCUGCUCGACUCCCACCUCACCAGCUCGCUCCAAACACGAUCUCGUCGUCGACCCACGUUGUGCCCACGACGUGCUCGUCGACUUUGAUGAUUUGAUUUCCAAUUUCGUGCUGCUUAUGUCGACCCUCGGAACUCCUCGUCGUACUCGACCCCGCAAGUCUCCAUCUCGUCGUCAAUCCGUGCGUCAGCAAGAAAUCCCAAGAAUCGGGUGAAGACGAAGCUAGCAGCGCGAUAUUCCCCAAGCGCUCGACAAAUUGCCUGGAUCGGAAAAUCGCUACCGAUCUCGCGGAUUCGUGUCAGCUGCUGAAGCGGUAAGCUGAUGAAUUAUUCAGAAUAGUUCAAUCGAUGAAUAAAUUAAUGUUUUAUUGCGAUGCUCAUUAGAUGCUCGAUAAAUCGCGUGAGUCACGAAACUCUCGUCGACUUCGCAGUUCUUGCGAUUAUCGAGCCAGAUUCAGCUAUAGCGAAUUAUUUCGCUAUUCCGGUCACUUAGCUGAAUUAGUGGAUCGAGUAGAUUUUUAGUAGGCAUGUGUGUUGAUGAAAUAAGUUUAGUAUUCCUAUUAGCUAGUUAAUAGAAUUUUCUAGUGUCGUUAUAUCAAUUUGAUUAAUUGAUAUGGUCGAUGCCCUGCAUAAAUAGUUAGUUUAUUCUAGUCAUGAUAUCCUUUGUUAAUGAUCAAUUAAAUGCCCUAGAUAAAUAUCUAGCAUUACCGAAAUGAGUGAAAGCGAAUAAUAUUGAUAAGUUUGUCUCUGUAGUAUUCAAUCUAGCUAAGUUAAAGAUAAUAUAGAUGAUGAAUCGUGUCUAGGCUAAUUAUGUUUAAAGUGUAUGAUUUGUUUGCGAUGUUGUGUUAGGUUCGUUUAAUUUAGAGGAGCGUAAUUAUUGCGCGUAGUCAUAUAGUAAUAACUAGUGUUUUCGUGUAAGAUUGUACAACGCCUCGCCGCUAGGUGUUUAAAUUCGUCAUCGCGUAGCACUAUUUAGGGUUUUUGAUAUUCCUGUCUAUAUGCAUUCAUAUGCAUAAUGCAUUUCAUUCAGGUGCGAUAAUUAAUCACGUGAUGCGGAAGAUGACUCAAGUCGACCCCAAGCGCGGGCUACUCCGCAUGGUGAUGCUGAUGAACGAACCUGCCUGAUCAAGUGCUAGGACAAGGAUGGUCGUCAAGUGGACAUCGUCUAACAAACACUAACCUAGUGUUACCCAGGCAAGCCCCAGUGCAUGCAAUCCCUUUCCUUGUGUUUUUAAAUAAGUUUUGCACACUUUAAGUCUAGUGAAAUAUGCAUUAGGUUUGUAGGAGUUGCUUGGAACCCUUUGAUGCAUUGCCUUCCUUGAUAUCCAUACCUUUAUAGAUACUUCUGGUGAAGUAUCGAAAUAUGAUUUACAAAAAUGCUUAGCCCUGCUUAGAUCUUGUGGAUAGAGGUUGUCCUUAGCCUAGCUCGAGAAAGGAUGGCUUCUACCUGCAAGAAUAUUUUCAUUGAGAGCGUGGUGGGAUCUUACUGCAAAGUUCCCUUUGAUGCUCUUUUCAUCCUAAGGAAUACAAACAAUCCUAAGGGUGGAAGUACUUAAAUCGGGACUUGGGCUAGGAACAGGUGCUGCUCCGCCCGAGUCAAUUAAGGAUUGGAUGCGUAUGUAGGCCUGAUAGAUCAAGGACUAUCUUAACUGGCCACAUGCCCUGGAAAUGGGACAGGGUAAGCUUGAACCCGGCUAUUCCAUACGUGAAAAGACAACCGCGCACUGGGCGUGGGAGAUGGUGGGAGUAGCGUGUGCCCUCCUGGCUAGAGGCUGGAUGGAGGAGUACUGUGCUCCCGGGUAGCGCGGACCGGUUCACGUUGUGGAGGAUCUGUGGGAACGGUUGACAUAUGCAAGGGUUAAGUGCUACAUAUGUCGUGUGGUUAGAGAUCCUCAGCUGAGUAAAUCGAUUCGGAUCGCCGUUAUAUCCCCGGAGAGUGGAGACUUGAUCACUGACCUGCAACCUAAGUCAGGAUGUGAACCUCAUGAAUAAAAAUGAUGUUGUAUUGAUGAGAUGGUGAAAUUAGAUCAGAUGCAAACAGGGUCUAUUAAUACUUAAUUCGGCGUUAAAAUGUUGAAAGUAAGGACUCACUUUAGUAAGCUAUUUCUGCAAAAGUAUCUAAGUUGAUUUUUGCUAAAGCCUCUUCUUGAUUCCUAUUUAUCCAGCAUACCCUUGAGAGUCUUUUCCUUAGUCGGGUAAGUCUUGCUGAGUAAUUCCAUACUCAGGGUUUUAUUCCCUGUUGUUUUUCAGGUUCUAACCUUAUGCUGCUGUGAUGGUGUUAAGUGCCGGUGGGCUCGGCCUUCUUAUAAGUCUAAGUACUUCUUCUAUACUUCUUAUUGAGGAUGGUCCCAUGAGCUAGCAUAUAUUUCAAACUUAUACUUUUGUAAUCACUCCGAUAAAAUAAUAUAAAAUUUUUGUAACUUGUAAAAUUUGGUAAUAGUAUUUCCACUGCAAAAAUAUUGUUGUGUGUGAUUUGUGUUACUUAAUCCCGCGGUUUUGGUUGUAAGUGGUUUAUCCGAUGUCCUUGAGGCAAUCGGACGGAUCCUGUUAAGUUAUCUGGUGCACAUGCAUGCCGUCUGAGGUCUUUAAGACGAGGACAGGUGCAUGUGGGCCCAAUAACUUGGGAGGUUCUGCCACAGCUGGUAUCAGAGCAGGAUUAAGUCUAUACGGUCACAUACGUAUUUUCAAAACAAAAGUUUUGGUUUUAGAAAACCUAUUUUCAACUAAACACAUUGUUUGAUUUUGAAAAACAGUUUUGCAAAACUAUAAUGCUAGCGACAUCCUUUAUUAAGCCCUAAGUUAAGAAUUAUCAGGUGGCUUAGUUCAAAACCACUAACCCACAACCGGGUGGGUAUUGCAUACAUGUGUAAUGUUAUUUUGAGACCAUUCAGUUUUGAAUGGAUCGACGCUCAAGGUAAGGUGAGUUGUGAGAGCAUGACCGAACAACCGUCGGUCUAGGGGAGUGCUUAAUUGUGGCGCUUGAUUAUAUACAUGUUCCACAUAUGUAUAUAUGAAGGUUGUGUUGUGGAGCAUUUAAUUUUCUGGGAUUUAGUACCCCAUGGAUGUGUAUGGGUAUACAGACAUGGGAAUACUGAGAAGUGUAAUGUACUUGUAACGAUGCACCUACGCUCAGGUAAGAAGGUGAGUUACCAUAAUGAGUUGCCCUAUGGUUAAAGUGUGGCAACGGCGCCUAUGCGUGGCUCGGCGCUUAAUGAUGAGCUGGCCUCCAUAUAGAAAUAUAUGGAGUAUAAAUUGUGAUAAACUGUCAUGUGUGACUUGCAUCAUUGGAAAAUUGGGCUGCAAUGGAUUUUCUGCAGGUACACUAACCUCGAAAACGUAUGUGUAGCGGACGACUAGCAAAAUACCGUGAGAGUCGUUAGUAUGCCACCGAUAUAGAACGUUAUCGCCACAGUACGUUGGCAAAACUCGUGAGGACGUAUAGGACGAGCAUGCAUCCUGAUUGUUGCAUCAUAUUUGUCACCUAUACACCCAAAAUGCUUCUCUCAUCUUUAUUCAAGUAACCAUUGAUUGUAGAUAAUGUGGUGUAAUGCUGAAUUAUGAACUUCGAUGAAAUAGGUGCCCUCCAUUCUUUAGGUGACCUCUUAGGGUGCUUUAUGUGCUUGCUCUUGUGUUUGAUGUGCCAGUAGAAUAUUGGUGAACUGUUUGCCUAAACCGGAAAUUAGGCCAUGUUCUUAUUAGGUAAACUGAGACCCAAAUUUGAAUUUACCAUUAUCCAUCUACGACUAAACUCAUGUAAAUGAAUGUUUAGAUAAUUUCUUUGUUGGACAUAAAAUGUACCCAAGCUUAAAUCAAGGAUCUCAAACCAUGUCUCCUUCUAGAACCAUUUCCUUGUUCAGUUGAUGCAAGUUGAGGUCUCUAUGGUAUUUGGCCUCUCCUUGUGGAUUACCAUGUUACUUUAUCGACCCAACCUAGGAAAUACAUGUCCAACCAUUUUUCUGGAAUUUUUGCCUCUGGUUUCCCUAUACCUAUCGAAGGCAUACCAACUUAAUCCUUGACCUUGUAAUCUCUACGAUGGGCAUAGAAAUAUGCUUGGGGCUGAAUUAACAGUCUCCCAUCGUACUCCUUUCAUUAAUUUUAGGUUAUGGCCACGCCUUGUUCAUUCAUCGGGCCGUGAUCUAUUUGGCUCUCUACUUGUAACCAUUCUUAUAAGUGGAGUCUAUUUUUGUAUAUUGUCAUCCUUGCUCAAUCCAGUUGUGUCGUGCGAGAUUUCUUAUUGGUUACGUCUGGUAAUGGUGUUGUGACUAAAACCGAUGGUGCCGUGACGAAACCGAGGGCCUCCUGUGGACGAUCGACACACGGUUGUGCUGCUCGGCACGCGCUGGUAUCACGGUUAGUAGUUGUGAUCCAUUAUGAGACUAUGUCAAUGCGUUAUCUUAGCACAAUAUUUUUUUGCUACGUGAGAUUGUUAUUGGUGCCAGUUCGGUAAUGGUGUCAUGGUUAAUGACUUAUGGUGCCGCAGCGAAACUGAGAGCCUCCUGUGAAUGCGCACACAGGACUGUGCUACUCGUCGGAUGCUGGUAUCAAGGUCUCUGGUCAUGAUCCAUUGUAGAACUACACUGAUGUGUUAUCUUUCGUAAACUACUUCCCUUGAAACAAUUUCUAUGUUGUUUGUCAAGUGAUCAAGCAACAUCUAUCAUCUUCGUUGGAUCAAAAGGGCAUACCACUUUCAUAUAUGGUUUCUUUUCUUUUGAUCUUGGUAGUGGUUACUUAUACAAGUUCCCUUUACAUCCUUUGUGUAAAGGUGAAACCUUGGAGCUUUUUAGUGUUGGAAGACAACUGAUUAGCUCUAAAAUGGAGAUUGACUUCCCCUGCUGCUGAGAUGCAGGAGUUUGUUCAUUCGCCCCUUUAUUUAAUCCAUGUACUCCCUAACCAAGUGGAUGAUUCAUAUCGCAUGAGGAAACGGAUAAACAACCUGACCAAAUGGGUUUCUACCCAAAUGCAUGACCUUUUGCUAGUAAAUGUAAACUCUCAACCCUUGGCUUACCGAUGGUACUAAGAGGACUUGCUCAAUGUCAAAAGUAGUUCAACAAGUUGGUUUUACUAACUUGUAACUGCCCUAUGAACAAAGGUUGAGUUUAGAGAUCGUUUUGUCGAGUUGGCUAAACUCACUUUGGUUCAACCCACCCUAAAGAAAGUACUUACAAGAAUCAAGUUAAGUCAACUAAUAACCACCUAAUUAUCGCUCUAAUCAUGCCUCAAUCGUCUCACGUGUGCUUUUCCGGCAUGUGUGAUCAAGUCGAGCCAUGAUUAGUACUGGGUAAAAUGGACUAGUUAUAAAGUCCGCAUCUACAGAUCCCUCCGCUGGUGAUUUUCUCGGAUCUAUAUCACCUUCUGGGACUUAGAUUUUCUAGCCUAACACGGGUCAAUUGUGAUGUUAUUCGACAUCCACACUCGUCCCCUGUGCUAUGAAUUUCCUGUAACCACUUGUUGGUAAACCUCUUUCUGUGUGUUUUACCCAAGAGGUUGCAUCUGAUUCUGUUUGAGUAAAAUCACAUCUCCACCGUUUGCUCAGCAGACUCGGAUAGUACAGUGUCAUCAGAAAAAGCAAACUGCACACAUGGAACCUUAUGUGUUCCUCUGGCAGAUAUCGUCUCUAUUGGUGGACAUUUCUAAAUUAGCCUAAGGCGAUGCAUGAUAUGUCCACUAGAGAAACCACAUCCUGAGACAUUCGCCUUCGCUCUAGAUUGUCUUAUGAUUAUCGCUGAUAUGGAUAUGGGGUACAUGCUUUUCUACCCUUAGAAGUCUUUCGCUCCGAAUCUCGGGACGAGAUUCUUUUAAGGGGGGGAGGGCUGUAACACUCCAGGUGUUUAUAUUCCGCUCAAUAACGAGUAUGGAUUUAAGCAUGUGAGAUCAGUGAAUAAGACGGACCCUAAGGUCUAAUUAUUUUGCCUGUCGCGAUUUUAAUAUCGCAUAUGAUUCAUCUGUCGCGAGUGCGACGUCGUUUUUAUUUGUAUCUAUCCGGGCUCUUCCGAAAUUUUCGUGGUGUUCGGAACAUAGCUGUUUCAAAAAUCGGUGUGUCCGGUGAUUAUUUAAAAUUCAUCGCCCGCACGGAUACGAAAUCGGAGGCUCAAUUUAUUCUUGCGAUUUUUUUUAUCCCGAGCAAAUUAGUUGGAACUUGACGACUAAAAUGUUCAGGGUAAAAUAAUGUGAAUCGCGUGAAAUCUUGCGCACGAAUAUGAUUCAGUUCACCCUUCAGCACGCUGUUUUGACGACAAAAUCGCGUGUUCGUCGGCAGAUAUGAUUUCGACUAAUAUUAGUCGAAUCACGCAUAUUAAAAAUACCGAAGCCGAAGUCCGUUUAAUCCAGUCCAUUGCUUCUCGCUUUGGUCUAACUCUUCAAAAGUGAAUUAACAGCACGAUUUUGUUCGAGGUUAGAGAAUUCGCUAAAUCAAGUCGGUAGUCCUCGGAUUUUCGUUUCAAGAUUUGGGAAAUGGGAUACGUAGUUGAAUAAUGUAUCGAUCCAGUGGGCAUUGCUAAAAAUCCGGACGCAAAAAUAUCUGCGUUUUUCUGUAAAAAAAAGAGAAGAUAAGAAAAUCAAAAAAAUCUACAGUCGAUUCUAUCCUAUCCGCGCGCCGCUCAUCGCUGGGAGAAAAUAUCCGGCGCGCGCGUUUGGCCGCUGGGCCUUUAUCUUCUCCAGCCGGAUCUCUCUGUUCGCUCGUACCCAGCUCUUCUCCAUGGCCGGCUUCUCCUGCUCGGCCUUGCUCCUUCCCUUGGUGCCCGGCGACCUUCCCAUGGCCGGCUGCCAGACCUUGCUCUAGCUCGGCUCCCAUCUCCCUGCUCGUUCCUCCUUCAAGCUCCCAUAGCCGCUGAGCUCUGCCCAUGGCCGCCGUCGCCUGUCUGCGCUCCACCUCGCCCCAAGCUGCAACCGACCGCCAUCUCCCAUGGAAGCUGUGACCAGCCAAACUCCUUUGCACGGCGCUCUGCUCGUCGUGGAGCACUGCUAUCGCCGUCGCGUCGUAGCUCCCUUCCCCCAGUUUCUCUCUCGUCCCCCAUGGCGCUCGCCCCUGCGCAGGUAAAUCCCCAUGGUCUGAGCUCCCUGCUUCCCUGCCGGUGCCCGCCCAGCCAUGGAGCUUCCCCGUCGCGCCCUCUGCUCCAUCUUCCUCAACCGCGCGCUGCUCGGAGUCCCCUGUGAAGCCCGAUUUCUGCGCGCCCAUGGAGUUCGCUGAGCUCCAUCCCUUGCCUGUUAUGGCGCUCGGUUUUCCUCGGCCCGUGCUCGUCGGAGGAUGAGCGCGAGUUUCCCUGCCAUAGUCUCGCCCCAGCCCUCAACGCCGAUCGCUCCUCUUCGGCUUCAUUUUCCACGGCGCCGGCCUCUGUUCGGCUCCCACGGACGGCUCCCUCCUAUGGCGGCCGCUCGUUCUUCCUCCUCCUCCUUGCACGAGCCGCGACCCUCUGACCAGUCCCAGCCGAACUCCCUGGCCAUCGCGCUUGCCGUUUCCCCACGCGCGCAGCCUCCCUCCUAGCUCGGCCGCCUGCUUCUCUCCGCUGCUCGUCGUCGCGUCGUUUGCCGUCGAGUCGUCAAACACGUUAUCCCCUGCUCGACUCCCACCUCACCAGCUCGCUCCAAACACGAUCUCGUCGUCGACCCACGUUGUGCCCACGACGUGCUCGUCGACUUUGAUGAUUUGAUUUCCAAUUUCGUGCUGCUUAUGUCGACCCUCGGAACUCCUCGUCGUACUCGACCCCGCAAGUCUCCAUCUCGUCGUCAAUCCGUGCGUCAGCAAGAAAUCCCAAGAAUCGGGUGAAGACGAAGCUAGCAGCGCGAUAUUCCCCAAGCGCUCGACAAAUUGCCUGGAUCGGAAAAUCGCUACCGAUCUCGUGGAUUCGUGUCAGCUGCUGAAGCGGU